GGGUGAAACAUUCCCUCGUAGGGAAUUUCCAGUUGAACUGAGAAAUCCAGGUGGCCUUGAGAUAUUUCUCCUGUUUUUAAUCUCCACCUGUUGUCACAUGCCAGGUCUGCACUGUAACUCCAGCUAAUAACGGUAACUUCCAAAAUUUGGAGACAACUCCAGCAGUCAAACUUAACAACGCUUUGAUCAAAUUAUAAAACUAGUGAC
RNAcentral lists this long non-coding RNA (207 nucleotides) under Sus scrofa (pig). RNAcentral describes it as "lncRNA (multiple genes)". Lineage: Eukaryota; Metazoa; Chordata; Mammalia; Artiodactyla; Suidae. The record is from RNAcentral.